RNAcentral lists this long non-coding RNA (286 nucleotides) under Phoenix dactylifera (date palm). RNAcentral's name for it is "long non-coding RNA (PDAC_LNC015603)". The record is from RNAcentral. Lineage: Eukaryota; Viridiplantae; Streptophyta; Magnoliopsida; Arecales; Arecaceae.
UUCGCUCUCUCUUUUCCUCUCUCCCACGGUCUCCUAUGUCGGUAUAGGUCUGGCACAGCAUGGCACGGCACGGUGCUGGCCCGUACCGACUCGUGCCGCCGGAUAACUGGUACGUGCUCGGUACCAGCACAGCAGAUCCUGGAACCAAGUUUUAUGUUGUUCUGUAGGUUAAUGUGCUUCUGUUGGUUUAAUGUCUUUUAAUUGCAUGGGUUUGUGAACUAACAGGAGAUGGCUAUUUCAUCCAUAAACUAUUAAUUUUCUGAUUUUUCUCUUGACAUGAUUAUCU